CACAUCCUACGGGAGGCAGCAGUGGGGAAUAUUGCACAAUGGGGGAAACCCUGAUGCAGCGACGCCGCGUGAAGGAAGAAGUAUUUCGGUAUGUAAACUCCUCUCAGCAGGGAAGAAAAUGACGGUACCUGACUAAGAAGCCCCGGCUAACUACGUGCCAGCAGCCGCGGUAAUACGUAGGGGGCAAGCGUUAUCCGGAUUUACUGUGUGUAAAGGGAGCGUAGGCGGCAGUGCAAGUCAGAAGUGAAAGCCCGGGGCUCAACUCCGGGACUGCUUUUGAAACUGUACAGCUUGCUUGCAGGCGA
RNAcentral lists this ribosomal RNA (305 nucleotides) under uncultured bacterium. RNAcentral's name for it is "bacterial SSU rRNA". It matches the Rfam family "Bacterial small subunit ribosomal RNA", at positions 334 to 655 of the family's 1533-position model. The record is from RNAcentral.